Transfer RNA from Cavia porcellus (domestic guinea pig), 64 nucleotides. It matches the Rfam family "tRNA". From Rfam's summary of the family: Transfer RNA (tRNA) molecules are approximately 80 nucleotides in length. Their secondary structure includes four short double-helical elements and three loops (D, anti-codon, and T loops). NCBI's taxonomy places the organism in Eukaryota, Metazoa, Chordata, Mammalia, Rodentia, Caviidae. The record is from Rfam.
GGGGAUUUAGCUCAGCGGCAUAAGCGCCUGCCUUGCAAGCAGGCAGUUGUGAGUUCAAUCCUUG